Molecule: regulatory RNA element, 140 nt
Organism: Methylomonas denitrificans
Lineage: Bacteria; Pseudomonadati; Pseudomonadota; Gammaproteobacteria; Methylococcales; Methylococcaceae
Rfam family: ALIL pseudoknot
Source: Rfam
GGUAUAUUUUGCUCAGGCUCAAGAGGCGCUCGACUACCCGAAGGGCACAAGUGCCGAUUCGCGUCAUGAAAGUGUUCAUCGAUGAUCAUCGCGAUAUCUAUAGGGUCGAGCCAGUCUGCAAGGUAUUGCCGAUUACCCCC